AAUUUCUGGUACGAUUUGCCUGGUCCACGUUCCGUAAGGGCGUGCGUACUGGAGCGAUUCUGCCAUCCUUCUAGUUAACUGGCUGCACUUAACUGUGCGGUCAGCAAUCUAGAUCAUUUACUUUGAAAAAAUUAGAGUGUUUCAAGCAGGCGUUUUGCUAUGAAUACAUUAGCAUGGAAUAAUGAGUUAGGACUUCGGUUCUAUUUUGUUGGUUUCUAGGACUGAAGUAAUGAUUGAUAGGGAUAGUUGGGGGUGCUAGUAUUCAGCGGCCAGAGGUGAAAUUCUUGGAUUCGCUGAAGACUAACUUAUGCGAAAGCAUU
This 320-nucleotide ribosomal RNA is filed under the name Paracercomonas sp. RNAcentral describes it as "SSU rRNA". The stretch from base 101 to 320 matches the Rfam family "Eukaryotic small subunit ribosomal RNA", at positions 735 to 955 of the family's 1831-position model. Lineage: Eukaryota; Cercozoa; Cercomonadida; Cercomonadidae. The record is from RNAcentral.